RNAcentral lists this long non-coding RNA (489 nucleotides) under Equus caballus (horse). Its description in RNAcentral is "lncRNA (ENSECAG00000047753.1)". Lineage: Eukaryota; Metazoa; Chordata; Mammalia; Perissodactyla; Equidae. The record is from RNAcentral.
CACUCACACACUCAGACUAUAGUGUCAAUUCCCGUACCACAGAAUGAUCAAAAAGGAGGGAGAGUAAAGGUUAGAGGGAGAACUCCAGGACACCUUCUGGAGCAGAGAGCAGGGGUGGACCCUAAUCCAAUGACUGGUGUCUUUGUUAGAAGAGAGAAAUUUGGACACAAGGAUACAGACACAGAGGGAGGACGGCCAUGCGAAGACAGAGGCAGAGAUUGAAAUUAUGCUUCCGCAAGCCAAGGAACACCACGGACUCUGGGAACCACCAGAAGAAGCUGGAAGGGACAAGGAAGGAUUCUUCCCUAGAGCCUUCGGAGACAGCAUGGGCGUGCUGACACCCUGGUUUCAGAUUUCUAGCCUCCAGGACUGUGAGAGAAUAAAUUUCUGUUAUUUUAAGCCACCAGUUCAUGGUACUUCGUUCUGGCAGCCCUGGGAAACCAACACUGUAACCUAGUGCUGUGUUUUCCACAGCUGGGAGCCCCAAGG